UACGUAGGGGGCGAGCGUUGUCCGGAGUUACUGGGCGUAAAGGGCAUGCAGGCGGUCUGGCGCGUUUUGUGUGACAGCGGGUGGCUCAACUGCCCGAGCAUACGAAAGACGGCUGGACUUGAGGGCGCGAGAGGGACACGGAAUUCCGGGUGGAGUGGUGAAAUGCGUAGAGAUCCGGAGGAACACCGAAGGCGAAGGCAGUGUCCUGGCGCGUGUACCUGACGCUGAGGUGCGAAAGCCAGGGG
This 245-nucleotide ribosomal RNA is filed under the name uncultured bacterium. RNAcentral describes it as "partial 16S ribosomal RNA". It matches the Rfam family "Bacterial small subunit ribosomal RNA", at positions 524 to 766 of the family's 1533-position model. The record is from RNAcentral.